CAACACAGAGCGUCUUUCAAGGUCGCUAUGAGUGCAUGCAUUUGAGAUGCGAUGGAAUAUGCAAUUAUUCAUAAAACUAAUUCAUUGGCUGUGGGAAAAGAAACCUUGAAAUAAAUAUAUGCCUGGUGUUUUAAGUCUGCCUCCUAAGGUAUUGUGAUGAAAGAUGAUUGGCUCUUGGUCUUGUCCCCCUCAUGAGUAACCGGAGUCAAGCAGGUAUGAAGUUAAUUGCCCAAGGUCAUGCAACUCAUCCCUGACUUCCUCAAGGCUUGCAACCGGGUUUCUGCACUUGCCUUCUUCCAUAAAUUUGUAAUCAAGACGAGGAACUGAAGCAAAGCAUCAUUUUGUCAGCUUCUUUAUUGGGAGAUACCUUACGUACAGAAACUGCACGUAACCAAUGUAUGCAAUUUGGUGAGUCUAGGCAAACGUGCACACUCAUGUUACCAUUGUUGCAGCCCGGGUAAGAAAACAUACUCGUCAGCGCUCAGAUUUGUCCUGUGUUUCUUUGUGGCUUUUGUUGCCGGUAUUGUUAUUGUUUUUGCUAUUUGUUGGUUUUUUUGUGUGGUAAAGACACCACUCUCCUCCUAAUAAAUGAUUUCUUGGAUACGGCACGCCAAAAGUACAGGCAACAAAAGCCAAACUACAUAAGUGCGACUACAAUCGACGAAAAAGCUUGUGGGCAACAAAGGCAACAUACUUUCAAACCGUGUAUCUGAUAAGGGGUUAAUUUCCAAAACGUAUAAGUAAUUCAUAGCAAUAAUGGCAAUAAUAAUAAUAACCCAAUUAAACAAUGGACAAAGGACCUUUUGCCAAAGACAUACAAAUGGCCAGUCAGUAUACAAAAAGAUGCUCGACAUCGAUCAUCAGGCAAAUGCAAAUCUAAACCACGCUGAAAUAUACCACCUCACACCUAUGAAGGUGGCUAUUACCAACAACAACACAAGUGUUGGCAAGGUUGUGGAGGGAUUGAAAGCCUUGUGCACUGUUCGUGGGAAUGUCAAUUGCUACAGCAAUGAAAGAUAGUGAGGAGGUUCCUCAAAAAAAAAAAAAAAUACAAGUAUUAUAAUAAUCCAGCAAUCCCAUUUCCAAAGGAACUGAAAUCAGGAUGUUGAAGAACUCCCAAGUUCACUGCACUAUUUUUCACAAUAGCCGCGAUAUCAAAACAACCCAUAUGUCCACUGACAACUGAAUGGAUGAAGAAAAUGUGGCAUAUUCACACAGUGGAAUAUUAUUCAGCCUUCAAAAGGAAGGAAAUCCUAUCAUUUGUGACAAGCUGGAUACCCCUGGGAGACACUAAGCUAAGUGAGAUAAGACAGUCACAGAAGGACAAGUACUUCACUAUUCCUCUAUAUAAGGCAUCUGAAGUAGUUAAAGGUAUAGAAAUAGAUAACUUAAUGGUGGUUAUUAGGGCAUGGAGGAGGAGAUACUGUCUAAUGUGUAGAUCUGUGGCACAGCACAGUGUCUAUAGUUAACAAUAAGGUAUUGCGUACGUAAACAUUUCUCUAUUUUCUUGAAUGAGUCAAAUAAUCAUCUUUAACACCAGGACUGAUAAAUAUCUUGAACAGUGAUUUGAGGGCUUAGGGCUGUGUCUUCUGACUUUGGUGUUCCUUUCCAACUCUAAAUUUUUUUUUUCCAACGUUUAUUUAUUUUUGGGACAGAGAGAGACAGAGCAUGAACGGGGGAGGGGCAGAGAGAGAGGGAGACACAGAAUUGGAAACAGGCUCCAGGCUCUGAGCCAUCAGCCCAGAGCCCGACGCGGGGCUCGAACUCACGGACCACGAGAUCGUGACCUGGCUGAAGUCGGACGCUUAACCGACUGCGCCACCCAGGCGCCCCUUUCCUUUCCAACUCUAAAUCAGUAUAACAAAGCUUUGCUUCUAGGCAAAUUUCACUAAAUGAACACCAGUUACAAUUGAGGUGGAUUGAACUCACUUUUGUUUGCAUCUGAUUCCUGAUUAUAUCUUUCCAAUCACUUAGUUACUUUAAUCAAUUAUCUGUUGAAGCGACGUGGUUCUAGAUGUAAUAUUAACAGUGAAAUUAAAUGAGAGAAAACAUGUGGGAUUUGGAGCAUUAAGCACACAACUAAUUCAAUAAUUUUGAAUCCAUUGACUUAGGUUUCACUUUAUUAUGAACAUUCAUAUUGAUAUUGAAAUUAAACAAGAAUGCUAGUUUGUGGGUUGAGUGUAUCAGCCUUUAACUUACUGUCACUCUUAUUACUGGAUGAUUUAUACUGGGAAAAGAAAUGAGGUUGAUAACAUCAUUCACAUAGGCUAAACUUAUAGACACAAACUAUAAUGCCUGAAACUGUCAUCUGAUUACAUCUAUAUGGUAGGACUUGGGGGAUAUGUUGGAUAGCACUGGAAAAUAUUGACCUUCUUGACUUUGUGAUUGUGUUGCCUGUUAAUACUAAAAAUGUAAAGACCGUAUGCAGCUAUGGAAGACAAAUCUUUUAGAAACUUGCCAUGGGAAGAGCAAAUAGUAACUGAAUGCAUAACAACAUAAGACAUGACAUGUGGAAUCAUACAGACUUGAGUUAGAAUCUUAGUUCUACAUGUGUUAACUAUGAUUUACUAGAUUUUUCUAAGCCUCAGUUUCCUAUAUGCAAAGCUGGGAAUAAUUAUUGAUUCUCCCAGCAAUUCACUGGGAGAAUCAAAUGUGAUAAUGCAUGUAAAAUUCAAAGAGCGGUGUGCCUGUGUAUUGUAAGUGCUUACUACAUUAUUCUUUAAUAAAACUCAUGGAGAAUAUAGAAAACAUAUACAAGUGAUUAUAAUGGAUACCUAAAAAUUCAUAAAAAUGGUAGCUUAAAUGGGUUUGUUUAGCGUAUCGAAUACUGCAGUAGUAUGUUAAAUGAGCACGUAAACUUAAUUGAAAUUUAAUCUAUUUAAUUCAAAAUUAAGCCUUCUUUGCAACUUGGCAGUUAUCCCAGGAGAAGUGUGGAAUUGCACAGGUUUGUGGUUUAUGCUCACAAGGGCCCUGGAUUCUGAUAUUUUUCUUGUGGAGCCAGCAACUAGGAGAAGAGUUUUCUAUUUUGUGGUGGUUGCUAAAAACUGGUGUAUAAAGUGCAUCCCUUCUCAUCUCAGUGGUUUGUGCAUAAUGAAAGCACAUGAGUUCAUCAAAUAUGUAAUUUUUUAAAUGUUUAUUUACCUUUUGAGAGAGGGGGGUGGAGGGGCAGAGAGAGAGGGAGACACAGAAUAUG
Molecule: long non-coding RNA, 3193 nt
Organism: Felis catus (domestic cat)
Lineage: Eukaryota; Metazoa; Chordata; Mammalia; Carnivora; Felidae
Exons: 3
Source: RefSeq, a predicted model, not a curated record